CCUGUCCUUAAAAGCAUUCACUGCAGGUAUAACUGCUGUGUCACAAGUGUCAGUAAGUGCCAGACAGGAGAGAGGCUGUCUAAGCUCAGUGUCUGACUUUUUCUGGAUGAUGUUCAAAAGCCUAAAAUU
This is a small nucleolar RNA of Rattus rattus (black rat), 129 nucleotides long. RefSeq annotates it as small nucleolar RNA SNORA17. The record is from RefSeq and is a predicted model, not a curated record. The transcript has a single exon. NCBI's taxonomy places the organism in Eukaryota, Metazoa, Chordata, Mammalia, Rodentia, Muridae.